CUCUCUCCAGAGUUAUCAGUCUCUCUCCAGUAUCAGUGCAUCUUCAGACUUACCCAGCAUCGUUGUCCGUCCUCUUCAGUACUUUGGAGAUGUGAGUAAGACUGUGUCUGAACUGAGAGAGAAACUAGAAGACUUCCUUAAAGGAGAAUGGACCAAGAUCUCCACUACAGUGAAUAUAGUGGAUGUUGUACUGCCUCCAGAGCCCAAGACCAGAGAACAGUUGUUACAAUUAUCAUUGAUCAGCGUGUUGGCUCGGUCCUAAUUGAUGUGUUCUCUGUCACCUGGAGCUGCAUGGAAAAUGGUCCAGGAACUAAAGGACAAUUCAGGACUAGUCAGCCCACUACAAGCUGGUAUCACUUACUUUCUACUAAACUAUAUGGUCUGGUUUCCCAGACACAGAUGAAUCCUAGUCCUGGACUAAACAGUAUGUUCAAUGUAGAUGUCCAGGAAACCGGCCCUAAAUGUGUCAUCUUUCAUCCUCCCAUACUGCUCAGUCCAGCAACAUUAAACCUGUCCAGCAGGUGGUGCUGUUGACCAAACAAUAAAACCAGCAGAUAUCUUGACUUGCCACUCAGUAUAUCAGUAAUGUUCAGAAUAGUACUUUAAUAUCAUUGGAGAUUGAUGGUCUUUUUAAUCCACUAUCCAGAGUCAGGAACAGAUGAAGUUAGGUCUGCUACUGUUCAGUGAUUAAAUAUGAUUUAUGGUGAUGGGAAAUAAUAAAAAACACU
Oncorhynchus mykiss (rainbow trout) is the source of this 728-nucleotide RNA transcript. It is a transcript of the gene named E3 ubiquitin-protein ligase TRIM16-like, with no coding region annotated. The record is from RefSeq and is a predicted model, not a curated record. NCBI's taxonomy places the organism in Eukaryota, Metazoa, Chordata, Actinopteri, Salmoniformes, Salmonidae.